UGGGCGUGGUGUGUCUAUCCAUACAUGUUAGUGGAUGUAUGGACAUGUUAGAUCAUCUAUGGAAAGGCAACGCAGCUGUGGGGAAUAUCAGCACACAACUCACACGCAGUACCCAGCCAAAAACUCUGCAUCUCAUGAGGGGAAUAUUCACACACACGCACAGAGACAGGGAGAAUUGCAUUGCAAUGCCUUUGGAGCCUGAGACCAAGCAGCUGCAUCCAUAUAAAGAAGAUAGAUUAUACAAUACAGAAAAGCAUAGGUCACUCACAGACUGAAAACCUCAGACUGGAAGGAGAGCUGAAUCUCGAAAGCAGCAGCUCAUCAGCUCAUCAGCUCAGGAACCUGCGGGGAGGCAGACUGCUAUUUCCCUUGCUGAUAUUCUGUACUGAGAAAGCAAGUGGGAAGAAGUCCCCAACCUGGUACCAAAAGAGAAAUUAACUUAUAAUAA
Molecule: long non-coding RNA, 448 nt
Organism: Passer domesticus (house sparrow)
Lineage: Eukaryota; Metazoa; Chordata; Aves; Passeriformes; Passeridae
Exons: 3
Source: RefSeq, a predicted model, not a curated record